This is a small nucleolar RNA of Tachyglossus aculeatus (Australian echidna), 138 nucleotides long. NCBI's taxonomy places the organism in Eukaryota, Metazoa, Chordata, Mammalia, Monotremata, Tachyglossidae. The record is from RefSeq and is a predicted model, not a curated record.
UCCCUCUCGGUGUCGCACCUGGAGAGUUUCCAGUCCUCUACCAGUCUCGGCUAUGGGAGGGAGAGUCCGGCAAGGGCCUACCCAUUCCAUUCCAAGCUUGGGCAGUGACUAGCGACUGGAAGGCAUCCUGCUACAGUA